RNAcentral lists this long non-coding RNA (994 nucleotides) under Brachypodium distachyon (stiff brome). RNAcentral describes it as "long non-coding RNA (BDIS_LNC000822)". The record is from RNAcentral. Lineage: Eukaryota; Viridiplantae; Streptophyta; Magnoliopsida; Poales; Poaceae.
GCGCCGCCGCCGGCGAGCUCGCCCGCCGGCCGGAACCCUAGAACCGGGCCAGUCAGGUUUCGCCACGUGGCAAGUUUUUGUUUUGUUUUUUUUUAUUUUUAUUCGGCCAAAGUGGAUAAUACACUUUUGCAGAAAAGACCCUACAACUUCAAACCUUUAUAUCUUUCAAACCGUUUGUCCAAAAUCUGUGUUCCGCACCUUUCUGGAAUCGUCGUAACGUGUAGAAUAUUUUGGCACUGUUUAAUUUCAGUUUUGAACAAAUUAGUCAGAAGCAAUUUACAGAUUGGUUGAAUAGAGUUUAAAUUUCAAAUGAAUUGUUUCAAAAUAGAUUUGAGCAUGUUAUCUUGCUGUAAAAUUAUUUAAAGUUGUUCUCUAUCCAUUAGGACCAGAGAAGAAAUUAUUUUGUGUAUAAUCAUGGCAUACAAGUUAAAUAAUGCUCUAUGUUGCAAGAGCCGCACAAUCUUUUGUUUUAAACCCUAUUCAUGUAUCAUGCAUAUUAAUUACCACUUUGAUGUUGUAUAAUCUGUCCAAAUCUUUUGAGAGCCUUUUCAAAACAGAAACAAAACUUUGUACGUUAGAAGUAACCUUUGUGUGCAUCAGCAUAGCAUAUGCAUCAUGGCAUGGUUUUUGUAUUGUAUGUUGUGUUUAUGGUGUGUGUUCCUUUUAUUUUAGAUUGUGUGGAGUGUAAUCAUUGUUGUUGCGAAGAGUGCGAGAACUACCACAACCUUGGACAAGGCAAGUUCACUUUGAUCAUAUCCCAUUAUAAUUGUGGUUUUAAAAUACUUAUGCAUCAGUGUUGUUGGUAGAGAUGCAUUGAUAGGACUAUUACUCGUACCUCUAUGCUAGCUAUAAAUCCCAAGUAGUAUAGUUUACCCUCGCCAUUACCUUGCUACCAAAUUGCCAUCGAUUGUAGUUUGAAUGCUAAGCUAUGGUAGUAUCGUGGGGGAAAUAACUACAUUAUGAUAUUGUUAUGCCUUUGGCUAUAUGAAAUGUU